Molecule: ribosomal RNA, 484 nt
Filed under: uncultured bacterium
Lineage: Bacteria
Description: partial 16S ribosomal RNA
Rfam family: Bacterial small subunit ribosomal RNA
Source: RNAcentral
AUUGAACGCUGGCGGCAGGCCUAACACAUGCAAGUCGAGCGGAUGAAGGGGGCUUGCUCCUUGAUUCAGCGGCGGACGGGUGAGUAAUGCCUAGGAAUCUGCCUGGUAGUGGGGGAUAACGUCCGGAAACGGGCGCUAAUACCGCAUACGUCCUGAGGGAGAAAGUGGGGGAUCUUCGGACCUCACGCUAUCAGAUGAGCCUAGGUCGGAUUAGCUAGUUGGUGGGGUAAAGGCCUACCAAGGCGACGAUACGUAACUGGUCUGAGAGGAUGAUCAGUCACACUGGAACUGAGACACGGUCCAGACUCCUACGGGAGGCAGCAGUGGGGAAUAUUGGACAAUGGGCGAAAGCCUGAUCCAGCCAUGCCGCGUGUGUGAAGAAGGUCUUCGGAUUGUAAAGCACUUUAAGUUGGGAGGAAGGGCAGUAAGUUAAUACCUUGCUGUUUUGACGUUACCAACAGAAUAAGCACCGGCUAACUUCGUG